AUGAGUGUCUUCCAAAACAUUGUAGCUCAACAAAUGCCUGCAACAGCUAGACUUCAAGGUGAAAUAGAUCAGUACUUGAAUGAUGGAUUAGUGCCUUACGUCGAGAAGUUCAACGCGUUGGAUUGGUGGAAAGUGGCUGGAACUAGGUAUCCAACCUUAAGGAAAGUUGCAAGGGACAUAUUUUCUAUUCCUGUUACAACGGUUGCUUCAGAAUCAGCCUUUUCUACAAGUGGCAGAAAGCUCAAUGACCAUAGAAGCCGAUUGACACCACAUAUGGUUGAGGUUUUAAUGUGCUCACAAGAUUGGCUUAGAAACAAGUUCAAAGGUGAGCAAAUAGUGUUUUCUAUU
This 348-nucleotide ribosomal RNA is filed under the name Triticum aestivum (bread wheat). Its description in RNAcentral is "partial small subunit ribosomal RNA". The record is from RNAcentral. Lineage: Eukaryota; Viridiplantae; Streptophyta; Magnoliopsida; Poales; Poaceae.